This 82-nucleotide transfer RNA is filed under the name Marsupiomonas sp. NIES 1824. Its description in RNAcentral is "tRNA-Tyr". It matches the Rfam family "tRNA". From Rfam's summary of the family: Transfer RNA (tRNA) molecules are approximately 80 nucleotides in length. Their secondary structure includes four short double-helical elements and three loops (D, anti-codon, and T loops). Lineage: Eukaryota; Viridiplantae; Chlorophyta; Pedinophyceae; Marsupiomonadales; Marsupiomonadaceae. The record is from RNAcentral.
AGGGAUGUGGCCGAGUGGCUGAAGGCGAGGGAUUGUAACUCCCUUGACAUCGUCAUCGUAGGUUCGAAUCCUACCGUCCCUA